UACAGAGGUCCCGAGUGUUGUUCGGAUUUAUUGGGCGUAAAGGGUGCGUAGGCGGCGGAGUAAGUUGGGUGUGAAAUCCCGGGGCUUAACCUCGGAAUUGCAUUCAAUACUGCUUCGCUUGAGUACUGGAGAGGAGACUGGAAUUUACGGUGUAGCAGUGAAAUGCGUAGAUAUCGUAAGGAAGACCAGUGGCGAAGGCGAGUCUCUGGACAGUUACUGACGCUGAGGCACGAAGGCCAGGGGAGCAAACGGG
Molecule: ribosomal RNA, 253 nt
Filed under: uncultured bacterium
Lineage: Bacteria
Description: partial 16S ribosomal RNA
Rfam family: Bacterial small subunit ribosomal RNA
Source: RNAcentral